RNAcentral lists this ribosomal RNA (501 nucleotides) under uncultured bacterium. RNAcentral's name for it is "partial 16S ribosomal RNA". It matches the Rfam family "Bacterial small subunit ribosomal RNA", at positions 30 to 523 of the family's 1533-position model. The record is from RNAcentral.
AUUGAACGCUGGCGGCAGGCUUAACACAUGCAAGUCGAGCGGGGGAAGGUAGCUUGCUACUGGACCUAGCGGCGGACGGGUGAGUAAUGCUUAGGAAUCUGCCUAUUAGUGGGGGACAACAUCUCGAAAGGGAUGCUAAUACCGCAUACGUCCUACGGGAGAAAGCAGGGGAUCUUCGGACCUUGCGCUAAUAGAUGAGCCUAAGUCGGAUUAGCUAGUUGGUGGGGUAAAGGCCUACCAAGGCGACGAUCUGUAGCGGGUCUGAGAGGAUGAGCCGCCACACUGGGACUGAGACACGGCCCAGACUCCUACGGGAGGCAGCAGUGGGGAAUAUUGGACAAUGGGGGGAACCCUGAUCCAGCCAUGCCGCGUGUGUGAAGAAGGCCUUAUGGUUGUAAAGCACUUUAAGCGGGGAGGAGGCUACUUUAGUUAAUACCUAGAGAUAGUGGACGUUACUCGCAGAAUAAGCACCGGCUAACUCUGUGCCAGCCGCCGCAGUAA